Molecule: transfer RNA, 73 nt
Filed under: Sauromalus ater
Lineage: Eukaryota; Metazoa; Chordata; Lepidosauria; Squamata; Iguanidae
Description: tRNA-Asn
Source: RNAcentral
CUAGACAGGCGGGCCUCGAUCCCACAAAAAAUUAGUUAACAGCUAAACGCCCCAGCCAGCGGGCUUCUGUCCG